This 343-nucleotide unclassified non-coding RNA is filed under the name soil metagenome. RNAcentral describes it as "partial contains 5.8S ribosomal RNA, internal transcribed spacer 2, and large subunit ribosomal RNA". The stretch from base 1 to 120 matches the Rfam family "5.8S ribosomal RNA", at positions 35 to 154 of the family's 154-position model. The record is from RNAcentral.
GAUGAAGAACGCAGUGAAAUGCGAUAAGUAAUGUGAAUUGCAGAAUUCAGUGAAUCAUCGAAUCUUUGAACGCACAUUGCGCCCGCCAGUAUUCUGGCGGGCAUGCCUGUCCGAGCGUCAUUUCAACCCUCAAGCCCCCGGGCUUGGUGUUGGGGAUCGGCGAGCCUCCGCGCCCGCCGUCCCCUAAAUCUAGUGGCGGUCUCGCUGUAGCUUCCUCUGCGUAGUAGCACACCUCGCACUGGGAAACAGCGCGGCCACGCCGUUAAACCCCCAACUUCUGAACGUUUGACCUCGGAUCAGGUAGGAAUACCCGCUGAACUUAAGCAUAUCAAUAAGCGGAGGA